GAUGAACGCUAGCGGAAGGCCUAAUACAUGCAAGUCGAACGGGCAUAUUGAUUUCGGUUAAUAUGUUAGUGGCGCACGGGUGAGUAACGCGUACACAACCUACCUUAUAUUGGGGGAUAGCCCUGGGAAACUGGGAGUAAUACCGCAUAACAUUAUAGAGAGGCAUCUUUUUUANAAUUAAAGCAUUUGCGAUAUAAGAUGGGUGUGCGUCUGAUUAGGUAGUUGGUAGGGUAACGGCCUACCAAGCCGACGAUCAGUAGGGGGUGUGAGAGCAUGGCCCCCCACACGGGUACUGAGACACGGACCCGACUCCUACGGGAGCAGCAGUAAGG
RNAcentral lists this ribosomal RNA (332 nucleotides) under uncultured bacterium. RNAcentral describes it as "bacterial SSU rRNA". It matches the Rfam family "Bacterial small subunit ribosomal RNA", at positions 28 to 359 of the family's 1533-position model. The record is from RNAcentral.